This 435-nucleotide ribosomal RNA is filed under the name uncultured bacterium. RNAcentral's name for it is "partial 16S ribosomal RNA". It matches the Rfam family "Bacterial small subunit ribosomal RNA", at positions 28 to 507 of the family's 1533-position model. The record is from RNAcentral.
GAUGAACGCUGGCGGUAUGCUUAACACAUGCAAGUCGAACGGACUCUUCGGAGUUAGUGGCGGACGGGUGCGUAACGCGUGAGAAUCUGGCUUUGGGUUCGGGACAACCACUGGAAACGGUGGCUAAUACCGGAUGUGCCGAGAGGUAAAAGAGAAAUUGCCUGAAGAUGAGCUCGCGUCUGAUUAGCUAGUUGGUGAGGUAAAGGCUCACCAAGGCAGCGAUCAGUAGCUGGUCUGAGAGGAUGACCAGCCACACUGGGACUGAGACACGGCCCAGACUCCUACGGGAGGCAGCAGUGGGGAAUUUUCCGCAAUGGGCGAAGGCCUGACGGAGCAAUACCGCGUGAUGGAAGAAGGCUCUUGUGUUGUAAACCUCUUUUCUUAGGGAAGAACAAAAUGACGGUACCUAAGGAAUCAGCAUCGGCUAACUCCGUG